GUGAAUCAUCGAAUUUUUGAACGCAAAUUGCACUCUCUGGCAUUCCGGAGAGCAUGCCUGUUUGAGGGUCAGUUUAAAUAACAAUCGAGGUUUUGCUGUUUGGUGUCCCAUCGGAACUGGGUUAUCUUUCACCUUUUAAAAAGUUUAAGCGACCUAAAAUUUUUACCUUCUGCAUCCCAGACGCACAUAAGAAUAUCAUUUUACCCGUCUGCAGUU
This 216-nucleotide unclassified non-coding RNA is filed under the name Glomeraceae sp. Its description in RNAcentral is "partial contains 5.8S ribosomal RNA and internal transcribed spacer 2". The stretch from base 1 to 71 matches the Rfam family "5.8S ribosomal RNA", at positions 84 to 154 of the family's 154-position model. Lineage: Eukaryota; Fungi; Glomeromycota; Glomeromycetes; Glomerales; Glomeraceae. The record is from RNAcentral.